AUGGUAACAAUUUCACAUCGGCAAGCACCUCUGCCUAGUUUUUUCAGUUCAACCUGUUGCUCUAAUAAUCUGAAGCCUGAUUCUAUGCUUGUGAAGGAUAAUUACCCAGUGAAUCCAAUUCUGGAUAUUGUGUUACUGAGGCUGCAUAUAAGAGGCAUAGAGGGUGACAAUAAGCCUGCGUAGAAAUUACCUCUGCAGCCUCCUUUGCCAAGUAUGGUCAUGU
This 223-nucleotide long non-coding RNA is filed under the name Sus scrofa (pig). Its description in RNAcentral is "lncRNA (ENSSSCG00035032877.1)". Lineage: Eukaryota; Metazoa; Chordata; Mammalia; Artiodactyla; Suidae. The record is from RNAcentral.